This 1269-nucleotide small RNA is filed under the name Pongo abelii (Sumatran orangutan). Its description in RNAcentral is "retained intron". The record is from RNAcentral. Lineage: Eukaryota; Metazoa; Chordata; Mammalia; Primates; Hominidae.
CUCCCAGGGGUCCCGGUGGGCGGGCGCGCUAGGGCGAGGGCGGGGACGGCCGGGCGGGCGCGCCAGGCUACACACAACCCAGCUGUACCAGCAUGUGCCAGAGACACGCUGGCCAAUCGUGUACUCGCCGCGCUACAACAUCACCUUCAUGGGCCUGGAGAAGCUGCAUCCCUUUGAUGCCGGAAAAUGGGGCAAAGUGAUCAAUUUCCUAAAAGAAGAGAAGCUUCUGUCUGACAGCAUGCUGGUGGAGGCGCGGGAGGCCUCGGAGGAGGACCUGCUGGUGGUGCACACGAGGCGCUAUCUUAAUGAGCUCAAGUGGUCCUUUGCUGUUGCUACCAUCACAGAAAUCCCCCCCGUUAUCUUCCUCCCCAACUUCCUUGUGCAGAGGAAGGUGCUGAGGCCCCUUCGGACCCAGACAGGAGGAACCAUAAUGGCGGGGAAGCUGGCCGUGGAGCGAGGCUGGGCCAUCAACGUGGGGGGUGGCUUCCACCACUGCUCCAGCGACCGUGGCGGGGGCUUCUGUGCCUAUGCGGACAUCACGCUCGCCAUCCAGUUUCUGUUUGAGCGUGUGGAGGGCAUCUCCAGGGCUACCAUCAUUGAUCUUGAUGCCCAUCAGGUGAGUGCCCUGCAGGGGCUGAACUCUUGGGGGACCUGCCAACCCCAGUUCCAGAAUCUCCCUGGGGCAGGAGAGUCUCCCUCCUCAUGUCCCCACGGCUCUCACGGCUUCUGUCUUCUGUCUCUCGGGCUACAAAUGCAGGGUCUGUCUUUGUCGCUCUGUCCAGGACAGCGGGUUGUCCUCAUUGCUCCCGAGGGUCCUCCCUCCCUCCUCCUGACUGCCCCCACAUGAGGCUCUUCCUGAAGCCCACUCUGAUGGGACUGCUCUCGUGUGCAGAGCUCUGCUGUGGGCGCCAUUGCUUACGAAUAAUUUGGGGCACUGCACCCUGCCCAGAGCUGCUGAGCACUGGCCACCUGCCUCUCAGGUGGAUGCCCACACACAUGGCUUGGCUCAGGCACCUGGGGUCACCAUUUAAGAACUCGGCGCCUAGGGAGUAAAGUGUCAGAGCAGAGGGUUACCUCCUCCUCAGGACCCCUAAUGAGGCCAGUGCCUCUGGUCAGACAGGGAGGGGACCCGGUGGGCUCCGGAAGGCACCCCCCACACCAUUACUGCUGUGGCUUUGUGCUAGUUGGGGCCCUGCCUUGGGUUCUUGUGACCCCGAAAUCCUGAGCCAGGUCACAUGUGGACAGUCCUUUACAGUUUGCUUUUCACAU